CAGCCGCCGCGGGAAUACAGAGGGUGCAAGCGUUAAUCGGAUUUACUGGGCGUAAAGGGCGCGUAGGUGGUUAUGUAAGACAGAUGUGAAAUCCCCGGGCUCAACCUGGGAACUGCAUUUGUGACUGCAUGGCUAGAGUACGGUAGAGGGGGAUGGAAUUCCGCGUGUAGCAGUGAAAUUCGUAGAUAUUCGCAAGAACACCAGUGGCGAAGGCGGCUCACUGGCCCGGUACUGACGCUGAGGCGCGAAAGCAUGGGGAGCAAACAGGAUUAGAUACCCGUGUAGUCCCUGUCUCUUAUAC
RNAcentral lists this ribosomal RNA (301 nucleotides) under uncultured bacterium. RNAcentral describes it as "partial 16S ribosomal RNA". It matches the Rfam family "Bacterial small subunit ribosomal RNA", at positions 509 to 807 of the family's 1533-position model. The record is from RNAcentral.